RNAcentral lists this transfer-messenger RNA (358 nucleotides) under Candidatus Giovannonibacteria bacterium RIFCSPHIGHO2_01_FULL_45_33. It matches the Rfam family "transfer-messenger RNA". Rfam says of the family: Bacterial tmRNA, also known as 10Sa RNA or SsrA, is named for its dual tRNA and mRNA-like properties. Its role is to liberate the mRNA from a stalled ribosome. RNAcentral also lists the same sequence under 2 other names. Lineage: Bacteria; Candidatus Giovannoniibacteriota. The record is from RNAcentral.
GGGAGUGAUUGGCCUCGAGGAAGAGUACGAUUUCACGCGCUCAGGCAGAGCAUGCAAGGUUUGCUCUUAAAUCUUUCUUUGCAACACAAUAAGUGCAAACUUAUUUUCUAAGUUAAGAGUUGCUUUCAACGACGUUGGAGGCGUUGCUCUUCAACCUGCAUACGCAUUAGCGUAAGCCAUCCGAACAUUUGAUUCUCGCUGGAGUGUAAGGGUGUUAUAUUAGCGGGGCGAUGUUUUGUAAGCCCGACUUAACAUUCGAAUAUGGGCAAAAGUCCCCGCAAAUUGCGAGGCAACUAAGCCUGUCAACCGCCGACUUCAAACUUUUCCGACCAGGGUUCGAUUCCCUGCACUUCCACCA